Molecule: ribosomal RNA, 257 nt
Filed under: uncultured bacterium
Lineage: Bacteria
Description: partial 16S ribosomal RNA
Rfam family: Bacterial small subunit ribosomal RNA
Source: RNAcentral
UACGAAGGGGGCUAGCGUUGCUCGGAAUCAUCGUGGGCGUAAAGCGCACGUAGGCGGCUUCUUAAGUCAGGGGUGAAAUCCUGGAGCUCAACUCCAGAACUGCCUUUGAUACUGAGGAGCUUGAGUCCGGGAGAGGUGAGUGGAACUGCGAGUGUAGAGGUGAAAUUCGUAGAUAUUCGCAAGAACACCAGUGGCGAAGGCGGCUCACUGGCCCGGUACUGACGCUGAGGUGCGAAAGCGUGGGGGAGCAAAGCAGG